Molecule: ribosomal RNA, 250 nt
Filed under: uncultured bacterium
Lineage: Bacteria
Description: partial 16S ribosomal RNA
Rfam family: Bacterial small subunit ribosomal RNA
Source: RNAcentral
UGGGGAAUUUUACGCAAUGGGCGAAAGCCUGACGUAGCGACACCGCGUGAGCGAAGAAGCCUUUUGGGGUGUAAAGCUCUGUCAGCUGGAACGAACACAAUGACGGUACCAGCAGAGGAAGCAUCGGCUAACUACGUGCCAGCAGCCGCGGUAAGACGUAGGAUGCAAGCGUUGUCCGGAUUUAUUGGGCGUAAAGAGUUCGUAGGCGGUUAGUUAAGUCUGGUGUUAAAGACCGUGGCCCAACCACGGA